UCCGCCUUGAAAACACGGAAUUCCGAACCAGGAUGUUUCUUUUCCUCGUGGACAUGCAACAUCUGGGGGGGGGGGGGGGGGAGAGAUUUCAAAAGCUGCCCAGAGUUCCUGCAAGGAUGCAGAUAAACGAUGAGCUUUCUCAAUGGACAGACUGAAAGUGAUCGUCGCACUGGCCGCAUGUGAACUCCAGCAAUCGUCGGUUAUUGCUGCCUUUUACACGUGUUGGACAUGGAAUCCAGGGGGUCAGAGACACGGACACAUUGGACACGGACUAAUUCCAUCUACUUUUUUGAGCAAGGAAUCAAGAGAAAGCCUUCUGCCUUCUCUUCCUUCCUUGGCAAAUCCCAAUGUCCUGCUGUUUUCAUUUGUUUUUGAUCUGCCUCAUUAAAAGACUAUUGAUGGCUUUAA
Molecule: long non-coding RNA, 408 nt
Organism: Ornithorhynchus anatinus (platypus)
Lineage: Eukaryota; Metazoa; Chordata; Mammalia; Monotremata; Ornithorhynchidae
Exons: 2
Source: RefSeq, a predicted model, not a curated record